CGAAAGCCUGACGGAGCAAUACCGCGUGGGGGAGGAAGGCUCUUGGGUUGUAAACCUCUUUUCUCAGGGAAUAAUAAAUGAAGGUACCUGAGGAAUCAGCAUCGGCUAACUCCGUGCCAGCAGCCGCGGUAAUACGGAGGAUGCAAGCGUUAUCCGGAAUGAUUGGGCGUAAAGGGUCCGCAGGUGGCAGUGUAAGUCUGCUGUUAAAGAGUCUGGCUCAACCAGAUCAAGGCAGUGGAAACUACACAGCUAGAGUUCGAUAGGGGCAGAGGGAAUUCCUGGUGUAGCGGUGAAAUGCGUAGAGAUCAGGAAGAACACCGGUGGCGAAAGCGCUCAGCUAGGUCGCAACUGACACUGAGGGACGAAAGCUAGGGGAGCGAAUGGGAUUAGAUACCCCAGUAGUCCUAGCCGUAAACGAUGGAUACUAGGCGUUGCUUGUAUCGACCCAAGCAGUGCCGUAGCUAACGCGUUAAGUAUCCCGCCUGGGGAGUACGCACGCAAGUGUGAAACUCAAAGGAAUUGACGGGGGCCCGCACAAGCGGUGGAGUAUGUGGUUUAAUUCGAUGCAACGCGAAGAACCUUACCAGGACUUGACAUGUCGCGAAUUAGGGUGAAAGCCUUAAGUGCCUUCGGGAGCGCGAACACAGGUGGUGCAUGGCUGUCGUCAGCUCGUGUCGUGAGAUGUUGGGUUAAGUCCCGCAACGAGCGCAACCCUCGUUCUUAGUUGCCAGCAUUUCGGAUGGGCACUCUAAGAAGACUGCCGGUGACAAACCGGAGGAAGGUGGGGAUGACGUCAAGUCAGCAUGCCCCUUACGUCCUGGGCUACACACGUACUACAAUGCUGUGGACAAUGGGCAGCAAGCAGGCAACUGCAAGCAAAUCUCAUAAACCAUGGCUCAGUUCAGAUCGAAGGCUGCAACUCGCCUUCGUGAAGGUGGAAUCGCUAGUAAUUGCAGGUCAGCAUACUGCAGUGAAUUCGUUCCCGGGCCUUGUACACACCGCCCGUCACACCAUGGAAGCUGGUAGUGCCCGAAGUCGUUACCCUAACCGAAAGGCGGGGGACGCCGAAGGCAGGACUGGUGACUGGGGUGAAGUCGUAACAAGGUAGCCGUACCGGAAGGUGUGGCUGGAUCACCUCCUUUUCAGGGAGACCGAACUCAAAGUCAGCAACGUUAAUUUGAAGAAGUUGUGACUGGAAGUCAUCCCAGGUCGUGCGCAAGCAUUAUUCAUGGACUUUCAAACUAUAAAACAGGUUCGGAAUUCGGGCUAUUAGCUCAGGUGGUUAGAGCGCACCCCUGAUAAGGGUGAGGUCCCUGGUUCGAGUCCAGGAUGGCCCACCUGAAGAGUAAUUAGUAAUUGCUAAUUCGUAAUCAGUAAUUAAUUAUGAACUACGAAUUACUGAUUACGAAUUAUCUUGGGGGUUUAGCUCAGCUGGUAGAGCGCCUGCUUUGCAAGCAGGAUGUCAGCAGUUCGAGUCUGCUAACCUCCAUUCACAGUCGUAAAUCAUCUAGAAAUAGGUAGAUUGAAAAUGUGAAUUAAUCAAAAAAACCAGAAAAGUUCAGCAAUCUGACUUAUUUCGUCAGUCUGCUGGAAGUUUUCCAGCCAGAACCUUGAAAACUGCAUAGUAACGCGAAUGUAGGUAGUUGACACUUCAGUGUCAACAGACAUAAGACACCAAUGUAAUGUGGUCAAGCUAAUCAAGGCUAAUGGUGGAUACCUAGGCACACAGAG
Molecule: small RNA, 1731 nt
Filed under: Scytonema cf. chiastum F04-MK25
Lineage: Bacteria; Bacillati; Cyanobacteriota; Cyanophyceae; Nostocales; Scytonemataceae
Description: bacterial SSU rRNA
Rfam family: Bacterial small subunit ribosomal RNA (bases 1-1142)
Source: RNAcentral